This 118-nucleotide ribosomal RNA is filed under the name Cyanobacteria bacterium UBA11162. RNAcentral also lists the same sequence under 2 other names. Lineage: Bacteria; Bacillati; Cyanobacteriota. The record is from RNAcentral.
CCUGGUGUUUAUAGCGCAGUGGAACCACUCCGAAUCCAUCUCGAACUCGGUUGUGAAACGCUGCUACGGCGAAGAUAGUUGGAGGGUAGCUUCCUGCAAAAAUAGCUCAAUGCCAGGA